Molecule: non-coding RNA, 1459 nt
Organism: Ciona intestinalis (vase tunicate)
Lineage: Eukaryota; Metazoa; Chordata; Ascidiacea; Phlebobranchia; Cionidae
Source: RefSeq, a predicted model, not a curated record
CUUGUCGCUCUGCUUCUCUCUCCUCAGUUGUCUGCCUUCUGCGUUUAAAUAUGGUACGUUAAGGAAAUUACGAAUCGAAAUUAAAAUAUUGAUAUCGUUUGAGCUAGAAUAGCAAGCGUAGUAAUCGCGCCAAUCAAAUAUUACUCCUCGGGAUGUCCGAUCACACGCUUCACGCGCCGAUCACGCCGUGAAAUUACAAUUCACGGGCACAGCAGGCCGACCAAACGAACGAAAAGAAUUGAGAGCGAGAGGUCGGCGUUUAUCUUUUGCAGAGAUGACUGAUAAUGCCGCCAGGGUGUGAGGCGAGGAAAAAGGGUUAAAGCAAAGCGGGAAUACAGGUCGAUCGAAACAGUUCUUCGUUGCGAAUUGGACGUCAAUUAAACCGAAGAGUUAUUGAGCUAGUGGUCGACGUAAAUUGAGGCCUCCCAUCAGCACACUGAAGAUGGCCAAUUGAGAUAAGCCGGAUCGUUAGAGGUUCUUUAGAUGCGUUCACUACGCUGAUUGCAGCUUAACUGAGCGUGAAGAUAAAAGGCUUGAUGGGCGGAAAGGUAAAUCCACGCACGAUGCGUAUUGUAGUUCCUAUAUGAGCAAUCUUUGCUUGAGUUUCUAAGAAUGGCAAAGCUUUGUUUGGCCCUCCACGGUCGCCGUGUAGUAAGAAAACGAGCACCAAUGAAACAAAGAGACACGUUUGGUUAUAUUGAAAGUAAACGUUGGCAUGAAGGGCUUAUACAAACUGACGCGUUUCACUUAUUUAGGGGUUUUGUAUAUUCCUAAGCUGCGGGCAUUUGCGUGUAUAGAGAGUCACCCAAAAAUAACAAACCAGCACCAAGCACCUGCACCAACGCACGGCACACACGGUCAGAGUCGUAUCCAUCCUCACCUUUCUCGAUGCGAGGGUUUUGGAAUGAGAUAGGAAUCUGGCCGGGCUUCAAACCUCGGUGGGGUCUGGGCAACAGAACCAGGCUGUGGACCACCCAGCUGUCGACUUACAUGGGACUCGGUGUUUACAAGUGGAUCUAGUUCAAUGAUGCAGAUCAGGGUAUCGGUUUCAAGGGCCGCAACACCCGACGUUAGAAUAUACAGACUAUACCAAGAAUGCAACAACGCUUCGUCUGAGCUCGCCUUCGUAAACACACGGACUUUAUCGAUCAGCAAAAGUACCAAGCUGAUCUUCCGUUUAUAUCAAUUUAAUACCACCGCGCGAGGAUUAAAAUUUCUGCUACUAUGAACUUUUGGUGAAAUGCCAGUUCGUUACCGCGAAAAAUAUUGUUUCGUAUUUUUGAAAGUAUAGCUUUACAGUUGUAAAAGCGAAAUAAUUUUAUCCAGUACGAUUUGUUUCGUAAAAUUCUAUUUUAAAAUAUUUUUAGAAAAUAACCAGUUAAUAAACCGUUUACUUGUAUUUAACAAACACGAAUCUAGCAAUAUUAAGAUACGCAAAUAAAGAAGUUGUUUACUGUCA